GAUAUCAACUUUCGAUGGUAGGAUAGAGGCCUACCAUGGUGGUAACGGGUAACGGGGUGUUAGGGCACGACACCGGGAGAGGGAGCUGAGAAACGGCCACCACAUCCAAGGAUGGCAGCAGGCGCGCAAAUUACCCAAUCCCGACACGGGGAGGUAGUGACAAUAAAUAACAAUACGGGGUUCUUUCGGAUUUCGUAAUUGGAAUGAGUACAAUUUAAAUCUCUUAACGAGGAACAAUUGGAGGGCAAGUCUGGUGCCAGCAGCCGCGGUAAUUCCAGCUCCAAUAGCGUAUAUUAAAGUUGCUGCAGUUAAAAAGCUCGUAGUUGAAUUUCGGGACUAAUAUGUCGGUCGUGCCUAGGUACGUACUGGCUUAUUGGUUUCUCCUUUCUGAAGAACCAUGAUGUCAUUUAUUUGGUGUCGUGGGGAAUCAGGACUGUUACUUUGAAAAAAUUAGAGUGUUUAAAGCAGGCUCACGCUUGAAUACAUUAGCAUGGAAUAAUGAAAUAGGACGUUUGAUUCUAUUUUGUUGGUUUCUAGGAUCGACGUAAUGAUUAAUAGGGAUAGUUGGGGGCAUUAGUAUUCAAUUGUCAGAGGUGAAAUUCUUGGAUUUAUUGAAGACUAACUACUGCGAAAGCAUUUGCCAAGGAUGUUUUCAUCAAUCAAGAACGAAAGUUAGGGGAUCGAAGACGAUCAGAUACCGUCGUAGUCUUAACCAUAAACCAUGCCGACUAGGGAUCGGAUGAUGUUAAUUUUUUAAUGACUCAUUCGGCGCCUUACGGGAAACCAAAGUGUUUGGGUU
Molecule: ribosomal RNA, 799 nt
Filed under: uncultured Glomeromycotina
Lineage: Eukaryota; Fungi; Glomeromycota
Description: SSU rRNA
Rfam family: Eukaryotic small subunit ribosomal RNA
Source: RNAcentral